UACAGGGGGUGCAAGCGUUACUCGGAAUCACUGGGCGUAAAGAGCGUGUAGGCGGUUUAGCAAGUCUGGUGUGAAAGCCCUGGGCUCAAUCCAGGAAGUGCAUUGGAUACUGCUAGACUAGAGUAUAGGAGAGGUGAGUGGAAUUCCCGGUGUAGAGGUGAAAUUCGUAGAUAUCGGGAGGAACAACAGAGGCGAAGGCGACUCACUGGACUAUUACUGACGCUAAGGCGCGAAAGCGUGGGAGCAAACAGGAUUAGAUACCCUGGUAGUCCACGCUGUAAACUAUGGGUACUAGAUGUCGGGAGUUCUUACCCUCUCGGUGUCGCAGCUAACGCAUUAAGUACCCCGCCUGGGAAGUACGGUCGCAAGAUUAAA
Molecule: ribosomal RNA, 375 nt
Filed under: uncultured bacterium
Lineage: Bacteria
Description: bacterial SSU rRNA
Rfam family: Bacterial small subunit ribosomal RNA
Source: RNAcentral